RNAcentral lists this transfer RNA (97 nucleotides) under Actinoplanes flavus. Its description in RNAcentral is "Actinoplanes sp. NEAU-H7 tRNA-Val". It matches the Rfam family "tRNA". From Rfam's summary of the family: Transfer RNA (tRNA) molecules are approximately 80 nucleotides in length. Their secondary structure includes four short double-helical elements and three loops (D, anti-codon, and T loops). Lineage: Bacteria; Bacillati; Actinomycetota; Actinomycetes; Micromonosporales; Micromonosporaceae. The record is from RNAcentral.
GGGCCGGUGGCAGAGCCGGGUUAUUGCAGCGCCGACGAUGCGCGUGGGGCCACUGGCGUGCCAUGCCCCACCAGGGGUUCAAAUCCCCUUCGGCCCG